CUACGGGGGGCUCCAGUGGGGAAUUUUGGACAAUGGGGGCAACCCUGAUCCAGCCAUGCCGCGUGAGUGAAGAAGGCCUUCGGGUUGUAAAGCUCUUUCAGCCGGGAAGAAAUCGCAUGGGUUAAUACCCUGUGCGGAUGACGGUACCGGAAUAAGAAGCACCGGCAACUACGUGCCAGCAGCCGCGGUAAUACGUGGGGUGCGAGCGUUAACCGGAAUUACUGGGCGUAAAGCGUGCGCAGGCGGAUGCUUAAGUCAGAUGUGAAAUCCCCGGGCUUAACCUGGGAAUUGCAUUUGAAACUGGGUGUCUAGAGUGCGUCAGAGGGGGGUGGAAUUCCACGUGUAGCAGUGAAAUGCGUAGAUAUGUGGAGGAACACCAAUGGCGAAGGCAGCCCCCUGGGAUGACACUGACGCUCAUGCACGAAAGCGUGGGGAGCAAACAGGAUUAGAUACCCCAGUAGUC
Molecule: ribosomal RNA, 463 nt
Filed under: uncultured bacterium
Lineage: Bacteria
Description: partial 16S ribosomal RNA
Rfam family: Bacterial small subunit ribosomal RNA
Source: RNAcentral